GAUGAACGCUGGCGGCGUGCUUAACACAUGCAAGUCGAACGAAGCACUUUAUUUGAUUUCCUUCGGGACUGAUUAUUUUGUGACUGAGUGGCGGACGGGUGAGUAACGCGUGGGUAACCUGCCUUGUACAGGGGGAUAACAGCUGGAAACGGCUGCUAAUACCGCAUAAGCGCACGGCAUCGCAUGAUGCAGUGUGAAAAACUCCGGUGGUAUAAGAUGGACCCGCGUUGGAUUAGCUAGUUGGUGAGGUAACGGCCCACCAAGGCGACGAUCCAUAGCCGACCUGAGAGGGUGACCGGCCACAUUGGGACUGAGACACGGCCCAAACUCCUACGGGAGGCAGCAGUGGGGAAUAUUGCACAAUGGGCGAAAGCCUGAUGCAGCGACGCCGCGUGAGCGAAGAAGUAUUUCGGUAUGUAAAGCUCUAUAAGCAGGGAAGAUAAUGACGGUACCUGACUAAGAAGCACCGGCUAAAUACGUG
This 481-nucleotide ribosomal RNA is filed under the name uncultured bacterium. RNAcentral describes it as "partial 16S ribosomal RNA". It matches the Rfam family "Bacterial small subunit ribosomal RNA", at positions 28 to 507 of the family's 1533-position model. The record is from RNAcentral.